ACGAACGCUGGCGGCGUGCUUAACACAUGCAAGUCGAACGGAAAGGCCCUGCUUUUGUGGGGUGCUCGAGUGGCGAACGGGGGAGUAACACGUGAGUAACCUGCCCUUUACUUUGGGAUAACUUCAGGAAACUGGGGCUAAUACCGGAUAGGAGCUCCUGCUGCAUGGUGGGGGUUGGAAAGUUUCGGCGGUUGGGGAUGGACUGGCGGCUUAUCAGCUUGUUGGUGGGGUAGUGGCUUACCAAGGCUUUGACGGGUAGCCGGCCUGAGAGGGUAGACAGCCACCAUGGGACUGAGAUACGGACCAGACUCCUACGGGAGGCAGCAGUGGGGAAUAUUGCACAAUGGGCGGAAGCCUGAUGCAGCAACGCCGCGUGCGGGAUGACGGCCUUCGGGUUGUAAACCGCUUUCGCCUGUGACGAAGCGUGAGUGACGGUAAUGGGUAAAGAAGCACCGGCUAACUACGUG
RNAcentral lists this ribosomal RNA (467 nucleotides) under uncultured bacterium. Its description in RNAcentral is "partial 16S ribosomal RNA". It matches the Rfam family "Bacterial small subunit ribosomal RNA", at positions 29 to 507 of the family's 1533-position model. The record is from RNAcentral.